Molecule: long non-coding RNA, 718 nt
Organism: Vespula vulgaris
Lineage: Eukaryota; Metazoa; Arthropoda; Insecta; Hymenoptera; Vespidae
Exons: 2
Source: RefSeq, a predicted model, not a curated record
UGGAAGAAGAGGACAGGAAGAAAAGAUCAGAAAAAAGAAGAAAAAAAAACAAGUGGUAUACACAAGUACAUGUGUUUUACGAGAAACUCGUGUCAAUAUGUGUUUCUUUUUACUUCGACAACGAUUAGACCGAACAAAGGAUGAGAUAAGAGAGGACGGGAAGAGAAUAUUAAAAAAAAAAAAAAAAGAGAGAGAAAGAUGAAAAAUAUUAGAAAAAGAAAAAGUGAAAAAGUGAGAGAUAAAUAAAAAGGAAGAAAGAAAAGGAGAGAGAAAGAGAGAGAAACAAACAAUUUCGAAAAAAAAAAAUUUAAAAAUACGUCGUCCUUCAACGAAAGAUACAAUAAGGAAAAGAUCGAAAAAAAAGAAGGAGAGAUAGAAGGACGACGAACAAAAUAAAAAAAUAACAUAAAGGGAGGGAAAGGAAGAGGACAAAAAAAAGGAGAAUAAAAAGGAGAAGAACAUGCACUUCAACCUGCUAUUAUUAGAUCAAACAAAAUGAUGAUAAUUUCCAAAGACAUGGUAGAGAAAAAAAGAGAAAGAAAAAGGGAGAGAGAGAGAAACAAACAAUUUCGAAAAAAAAAAAGUUUAAAAAUACGUCGUCCUUCAACGAAAGAUACAAUAAGGAAAAGAUCGAAAAAAAGAAGGAGAGAUAGAAGGACGACGAACAAAAUAAAAAAAUAACAUAAAGGGAGGAAAAGGAAGGGGACAAAAAAAAGGA